UACGUAGGGUGCAAGCGUUGUCCGGAAUUAUUGGGCGUAAAGAGCUCGUAGGCGGUUUGUCGCGUCGGCUGUGAAAACUCGGGGCUCAACCCCGAGCCUGCAGUCGAUACGGGCAGACUAGAGUGCUGUAGGGGAGACUGGAAUUCCUGGUGUAGCGGUGAAAUGCGCAGAUAUCAGGAGGAACACCGGUGGCGAAGGCGGCUCACUGGUCCACAACUGACGCUGAGGUGCGAAAGCGUGGGGAGCAAACAGG
Molecule: ribosomal RNA, 253 nt
Filed under: uncultured bacterium
Lineage: Bacteria
Description: partial 16S ribosomal RNA
Rfam family: Bacterial small subunit ribosomal RNA
Source: RNAcentral